RNAcentral lists this microRNA precursor (185 nucleotides) under Oryza brachyantha (malo sina). RNAcentral's name for it is "MIR812 microRNA precursor family". It matches the Rfam family "MIR812 microRNA precursor family". The record is from Rfam by way of RNAcentral. Lineage: Eukaryota; Viridiplantae; Streptophyta; Magnoliopsida; Poales; Poaceae.
AAUAAGUUCAUUCUUCAGUUUUUGGAUACAAUGUUUGACUAUUUGUCUUAUUUAAAAAGUUUUACAAUUAAUAUUUUGUUAUUAUUAGAUGAUAAAUUAUUGAUAGUACUUUACAUGUGAUUUUUUUGAGUUUUUCUAUAAAUUUUUUAAAUAAGAUAAAUUAUUAAAUAUUGAACAUAGAAACC